UGAGGAAUAUUGGUCAAUGGGCGAGAGCCUGAACCAGCCAAGUAGCGUGCAGGAUGACGGCCCUAUGGGUUGUAAACUGCUUUUGUAUGGGGAUAAAGUCAGUCACGUGUGAUUGUUUGCAGGUACCAUACGAAUAAGGACCGGCUAAUUCCGUGCCAGCAGCCGCGGUAAUACGGAAGGUCCGGGCGUUAUCCGGAUUUAUUGGGUUUAAAGGGAGCGUAGGCUGGAGAUUAAGUGUGUUGUGAAAUGUAGACGCUCAACGUCUGACUUGCAGCGCAUACUGGUUUCCUUGAGUACGCACAACGUUGGCGGAAUUCGUCGUGUAGCGGUGAAAUGCUUAGAUAUGACGAAGAACUCCGAUUGCGAAGGCAGCUGACGGGAGCGCAACUGACGCUGAAGCUCGAAGGUGCGGGUAUCGAACAGGAUUAGAUACCCUGGUAGUCCGCACAGUAAACGAUGGAUGCCCGCUGUUGGUACCUGGUAUCAGCGGCUAAGCGAAAGCAUUAAGCAUCCCACCUGGGGAGUACGCCGGCAACGGUG
RNAcentral lists this ribosomal RNA (540 nucleotides) under uncultured bacterium. RNAcentral's name for it is "bacterial SSU rRNA". It matches the Rfam family "Bacterial small subunit ribosomal RNA", at positions 355 to 896 of the family's 1533-position model. The record is from RNAcentral.